Molecule: long non-coding RNA, 3691 nt
Organism: Mustela lutreola (European mink)
Lineage: Eukaryota; Metazoa; Chordata; Mammalia; Carnivora; Mustelidae
Exons: 4
Source: RefSeq, a predicted model, not a curated record
UUCAGUACCAAAUCCACUAAGAGUUUUAUAAAAGAAUAAAAAGGGAAAAUAAGAGAGUAAGAACAAUGGAUGAGCUGUCCCACUGGAUUCAUUUCUGUGGUGAGGCAAACCUGAUUUCCUCUAUUUUCUAAAAUUAACAUGUUUCUGUAAGGAAGAAAACAGAUUAUAAUGGAAGAAGAAAGCAUCCCCCUCUUAGCUCCACAAAGCCUUGGGUCCCCAUCUUGUACUGCCUAAAAAUCUAAGUGUCCCCCCCAGGAGGCUGUAAGCCCUAAAUGUGUCCCUCCCUGCUCCCUGCUAUAACAUUGGAAUGGACAGUAAAAUUCAGGAUUGUAUUUCCAGGAGAAAAUAGUUUUGUUUUGUUUUUUAUUUUGGUUCACCACUUUUUAACUUUAUCUGGUAGUCAGAGGAUGGGGAAAUUUGCCAAAAAGUUUGCAUAAAGGAUUUGGUUUUUCUGAGGUUUUACAGAUUUAAGAAAUGCAGAUAUUGAUGCAUUCUGAUAUGAUAAGACCACAAUCCUAUGUCAUAGACCUUUCUGAGCACCCUAAUAGCUAUAGUUAUGGGUUUUAUCCAUCUUAGUACUGCUACCACUAUACACAGUGAGGAUGUGUGUGACUCACACCACUCAGAUCAGGGCUCCCCAAUUCCCUCAAGUAUAGUUCAGAGUUUCACACCUCCACCCUGUGGCUGUCCAGGGCCUCCACUGGGUUUAGGUGUUCCUAGAUCACUACAGAGUGAAGUUGAAUGGAGCAGGGCAGUCUGAUAGGGUUGGAACAGAGUCCACUGCAAUGAUGGGUUUUGCUCACUUGAGAAAUCACCAGGUGAAGGUUGAAGCAGCCAAGGUGCCAUCUAACCUGAGAGGUUCUCCUGGAGAAGGUGUGACAUUCAGCAGGUGAGACCUCUGCCCUCUGACAGCUUCUCACAGUGAUCCUGCCCAACUCAACUGCAGGGGACGCCAUUCACGUGGACUACAGCCCUGGCACUGUGCAAUGUGUAGCCUACAUAGCUAAAUACAGUGACCCAGACCUGGCGAGGUGCACAGGCUUCCAGAGCAGCAGGGUUCCCUUUACUCCCCACUUCUUGCCUUUUUGUAUCCAUAACUUGUACGAGGUCAACGCCCAAGGUUGGCAUUCCAGGUAUGUACCUCUUUGAGUCCCACCCCCCACCCAUCACUUUCCCUGCCCCUCAACUCAUCUCUGGGGUUGUUUGAAGGUUAAGUUCUUCCUGUCUUUAGGAAAUAUGAACCGGUUGUUGGAUGCUAAUGAUUCUGUCUCCCAUAGAGAUGGGCCAUGAAGGUUAAAGCACCAAAACAUAGAUCUAGUUAUAUACAGACAAACAUAUGAAUUAAUGAAGAUAACAUAGUAUUUGGUGUCUAGGGCUAAAGGACUAUAAGUAGGAACACCUGAAGGUAGGCACAGUGAUUAACCCUUUUUAUAGGAAAGGAAAUUGGAAUGUAGAGAGUAGUGAUUUAGCCGAGAUCACCCAACUAAAAGUGUGGUUUGUGACCCUGUUAUGGUGGAAUUUUAUCCAACCUGACUAGUGAUUUCCAGUGAGGUAAGUUCACUGAAGUAUACCAUAUAUAUAUAUAUAUAUAUAUAUAUAUAUAUAUAUAUAUAUAUAUAUAUGCAUGCACACAUCUUAAGUGCUUAGAUGAAUUUUUAAUGUGUAAACUACUUACUUCAAGAUUUAGAACAUUUCCAUUGCUUCAGAAUGCCACCUCUCAGGAGUUACACUAUUCUGAUGUCUGUCACCAUAAAUAAGUUCUGCCACUUCUGGAACUGUAUAUGGAUGGAAUGGCACAGUACAGACCUCAAGUGUCGUUUCUCGCUCUAGGUAAUGGGCGUGUGUGUGCUAACACAUGCUUGUGUACUCUGAGACAUGUUUGCCUUUCUUGGUGACACAUCGAGUACAAACCCAGAAAUAAUCAACAUGCACGGUGAAAUCGUGUGCUGACUCAUGGAUGUGCUAUAGAUUUCUAAUGGCUACAUUUGGGUUAAUGAGACUGAAGAGGUCAUAUGUUCUCACUGGUGCAGCUACAGGAUGAUGAUGCCUUCUGAAGCCUGGGUUCCCAAGUCAGCAGAGCUUCUCCAACCUCCACUGGAUAUGUAAGAGAGAUCACAAGUAGACAGAGAGGCAGGCAGAGAGAGAGGAGGAAGCAGGCUCCCCACUGAGCAGAGAGCACGAUGUGGGACUUGAUCUCAGGACCCUGAGAUCAUGACCUGAGCCGAAGGCAGCAGCUUAACCCACUGAGCCACCCAGGCGCCCCUGAAAAGGAUUCAAAUUGACAUGGCCUGAUCGAUGACAGCGCGGUGGCUACUCUUUUGGGUCUUGGCAGCUGUGAUUGUGGCACCCAGCCUUGGACUUUGCAGGCAAGAACUGACCUUCUCAUGUCCAGAGGGAUGCUUAAGUACCACAAAGAAAAGCCAGACUUAGGGAUAAGUUGCAUGAGUAGUGCAGUCCCUGGAAGAAUGCUGGCUGUCCCAGGAAGCCCACAGGACAUGUCUUGCCUGUACAGACUCACUGGAACCACACAGAAAAAUGGGAUCCUCCUGAAAAUGCCCCUUCAUCUGGGACACCUGCCUCUAUGCCAUUCCUUUAACCUGGAGACUGGAUCUGGCAGGUGGACCAGAGUAAGCACUCAGAGCAGGUGUGGACAUGUCUCUGUGCCAAGAGAACUGUCAGUAUUCAUGGGAAAACUGCCACACCUGCUUCACCUGCAAGAGCAGUGGCCAAGCUCAGGGAGUGAAUUGCAGGAUGCACUAGUGCCCUGUGGGGACUGCCCGCCUCCUUUUGAUUUCUACUUUCCCACACCUGCCACUCUGUUCAAUGAAAGGGAGUGGUUGCCACAUCCAGAUGGGGUCUGAGCUGGCCUGAGGAAAGGGGAGGUUCUAUGUUGUGAUAGUACACCCAAGCUGUGCCUUGUAGGGCUGGCCUCUCUUGCUCAUUCUGCCCUGAGGCUGCUCAGCUGAGCUAGUCCUCCCUUCUGGCACAGGGACUUACCAGGUCAUGCACCUCCAUAGCUUCCAGACCUUCAGUUCCUGCUUGGCUGGUGGGGUCUCUGCCACACAGAAGUCUGGCAAAAGGGUGUGUGAUGGAAGUAAAUCUCUCUCCAACAACGUGGUGUAUUUUAUUUUAUUGUGGUAUUUUUUUAAAAAGAUUUUACUUAUUUAUUUGUCAGAGAGAAGAGAUAGAGAGAGAGAGCACAAGCAGUGGGAGCCGCAGGCAGAGGGAGACAGGAGCCCGAUGUGAGACUUGAUUCCAGGACCCUGGGAUCAUAACCUGAGCUGAAGGCAGAUGCUUAAUGGACUGAAUGCUAUAUUUUAAUGGGAAUGGGAAUGUUGCCCAUAAUUUUCUUCUGAAAAAUUUUCAAAUUUUGGAAGGAAUUUAAUAUAUCUACCUCCUUUUUGACUGUUAAUAUUUAAAGUUUUCUUCUUAGUAUGCAAAUUUCUUCCCCAGAAUUAUUCAAUAUUCGGUUUCUGGUGGCCAUUUCCCACCAAAUUGAUGCCUUGCACUUUUCUUUUCAGGGCCCCUUGAGCUAGGGUAUCUGAGUAUCAGCUCAGGACCCUGUCUACUAAAUGUCAGCUUGUUGAGCUCUGGUUCUCAUCUUCCUGCCCUGUGCCCUAAUCCAUGAUCCUUAAAUACUUCUGAUUUGGUGUCAUUGGUUUUAUUUUGUUUGUUUUGGGUUUUUUUUAAG